This 863-nucleotide long non-coding RNA is filed under the name Vigna radiata. RNAcentral describes it as "long non-coding RNA (VRAD_LNC017443)". Lineage: Eukaryota; Viridiplantae; Streptophyta; Magnoliopsida; Fabales; Fabaceae. The record is from RNAcentral.
CUAGAUUUUUUUCUUUCACUUUUGAAUUUUAAAUUCUUAGAAUAGGUUGAAUUUUAUUUUCAAUGUGUAUGCUUGUCUUGAAUACUUUUUCUGAAGAUGUUUAACUGAAUAGUUUGCAUGAUGAGUCUGUUUAAUGAUGAUUUGAUGUGGAUGAUAAUUAAGCUGCAUUGCAUGUUAAUAUUCUGUGAAACAGAUGGGGGAUGAAUUAUGAUUGUGGUUAUGAUGCUAAGCAGGGUGUAUGAAUGAAUAUUGUGUGAGAAAGCAUGUUGUGUGAGGUAUUGAGCUCCAAAGUUUUCAUUGUUAUAUGUAUUGUUCACAAGAAAGCAUGAAUGAUAUUUCCUUAAUCUUGAUCAUUGAUUGAAUUGCAUGUGAAUUUCAUAUGAUCAAGGCCAUUUUUGAAAACCCUUCUCUAGCCAAAUUUUCACCCAAAGUGCUUGAAAAUGUUAUACCCUUUUUGAACCUCGGCCUUAAACAGGAUGUGAACCCUUGUCUUUAAAUUCUUUACCUUGAGUUGGGAUGAGCUUAAUUGUAGGUGAUAAAAAGGUUCAAGUUUGGGGUUGCAUGGGGUAAAUUGUAAGGCAAUUGAAAAAGCAUUGAGCUCAAUUGUUGUGAAAGAAUAAUACAUGAGAAAAAGAAAAGAAAAGAAGAAAAGCAUGAAGAUGGACUCAAUGUAAAAGAAAAGGUAAAAGAUGGGGAAUAAGUGAGAUUGGUGAGGAAGAGAAUUAUGCUUAUUGAAUACCAUGUUAGCUCUCUUAACUCAAGGAUUUUGUAUUCUAGAAAAACCAAUUAUUCUUGUUUUCCCAGCCUUAUUACAAGCCUUGGAAAAGUCCUUUUGAUGGCAUUUGCAUGUAAGGAUUUUGGUU